GGCCGCACAUUGACCUUAGGUGAUUUGGGAUUAGUCAACCAUGGGUGACCUAUAGUAGGUCAUCCUAGACCGAGAUGAACUAGGCAUGGGUAGCAUGUGAUUUGUCAGGCGUUCAUCUCCCAUAGCUCGACUGACAUCAAGGAUGUUGAAGCCAAGGCCGAGGUACAAAUCUACAAUAGUAUGCAAUUAAAUCUGAACCAUAACACAAUCGACAAGACAUGAUGAAUGCUGAUGUCUACA
This 240-nucleotide long non-coding RNA is filed under the name Elaeis guineensis (African oil palm). RNAcentral's name for it is "long non-coding RNA (EGUI_LNC014501)". Lineage: Eukaryota; Viridiplantae; Streptophyta; Magnoliopsida; Arecales; Arecaceae. The record is from RNAcentral.